CCGUGGGGUAGCUUGGUUAUCCUACCGGCUUUGGGAGCCGGUGACUCCGGUUCAAAUCCGGGCGGCCCCA
Molecule: transfer RNA, 70 nt
Filed under: Euryarchaeota archaeon ex4484_178
Lineage: Archaea; Methanobacteriati; Methanobacteriota
Description: tRNA-Pro
Rfam family: tRNA
About the family: Transfer RNA (tRNA) molecules are approximately 80 nucleotides in length.
Source: RNAcentral